Astatotilapia calliptera (eastern happy) is the source of this 2638-nucleotide long non-coding RNA. The record is from Ensembl. Lineage: Eukaryota; Metazoa; Chordata; Actinopteri; Cichliformes; Cichlidae.
GGCUGGGGAAGACUGUGUGAUGUGGGUGGUUUGUUCCUGUGACUCUACUCUGUCUUUGUAGGUGGUGGAAUGGUCUCGGUGUGUGUUUGUCCUUCCCGUGGUGUUAAGUGAGUAGUUGGGCCGGUGAGCCUUUGAAAGUGCCUUUUUGUGGUGUGGAGUUUUUUGUUUGUUUGGUAGUUGUUUCCUUUGUUGUUUUCAACCUCUUCUUUUCUUUUUGGCCUUAUUGAUAAAGAGGUGUUGCCAACUCUUUGUGUUAGGAUUAUUUGCAAUAAAAACAUUAUAUGCUAAACAACUCGGUCUGCUUUCCUUCUCAUUCUGUUCUGUUACCGAUCCCACUCACACCCCUAGACCUCUUCGUGGGGAUGUAACAAUGUUGUAGGGUAAGUAUUUAAAGUGGAUUAUAUAGGUUAGGUAUCUUUAAAAUACUGUAUACAGCAUACUUGCUGUAAAACAAAUAUUGUAGGCUGUAGAAAAUAAAAAUGCAACUCAAAUAUUUUACACAAGCUUUAGAUAACAGGAAGUUGGAUAACAUGUAUGUGUAAAAUGUUUAAGCUCCAUUUUCAGUCACAUUGUUUUGAAUGCUUGUUAAUUGAACUUUUUGAAAUACAGGCAUGGACUCCAGGGUGUUUUGUUUUUGUUUUUUUUGUUUUUUUUUUCCUCUCAUUGUAUGAUAAUUCUUAAGUAUCAGAUACCAGCCUGAAUUUUACUGGGUAUCAGAUCAAAAAGGAAAUCUGUGUUGUGACACAUAGUGGAAAUUUUUAUUUCUUUUAUAAUUGGUUUUAUUCUGAUUUUAGUGUUUGUUUUAUUUGCAUGAUUUUAUUCUGAUGUUUAUUGCAUGUUUUUUUUUUUUUUAAGUGUUUUCAUAUGACAUUGUUUUAAUCCACUGUGGACUGGCUGGCCAUGGGACAAAUUGGCUGAUAGUAAUCACCUGCUGAGGUGUGGGUGUGUCCUGAGGUGGCCUAUCAGCUGGUGAAAGGGCCCAUUUAAAAGGAAGCUGGCUGAGCAUUGCAGGAGGCCCAGAUAUAAAGAGAAAUGCAGAGAAGCCAGGCGCUGGCGCGAUUGUGCUGCCCGAUCGUCAGAGGCGUAAUGCGACGACCCAGUUUGGACAGUAGGAACGGUAAUGGCAAGAGACAAUGCGCGUGAUUGACAGCAGGGCAGAGGUGCAUUUGUUAGUAGUGUCUCAACUGUUGUUUACCAGGUGCAACUAUGUUGGAGGGUCUUCAUAGCAAUUAGCCAGGCCAGCUUCCCGGAUGAUGGUUCUGGCCAGUAUUUAUCUGCUUGCAGGGCGAUGCCACGAGGGAAGACGCUGUGGUAGCAAGCGACAGACUAAAGUGCAGAGUGUAAGCUGGGCUGUGAUGGGAGGCGUCCCCCUUGUCCUCCUGGUACUAGGCUGGUGUGGUCCCCGCUAGAGUUGGAUGUCUCAAGACCACUUUUACGUGGUCUUGCUGUCUCAGAUCGACAUGGUAUUUGGGAGAUUUGGAGUAAACAGUAUCCACGACACACAAUGUAACGUUUUCAUGCGCAAAAGCAUCAGCUCUAAGAGCCGUGCUUUGUAAUGAAUCAGAAGAGUCGACUCCCAUUGAGCGAGAGCCAGCUCCCCCCUUAAUUUCUUUUUGCUGCUCAGCUCUCACACAGUGGCUCAGCUAUGCUCCAAUCCCUCCAUAUUGUGGCUAAUCACAUGUGAGGAUAUAGGAUAAUAUCAUUAUGUGAAAAACAGAGGGUGAGAGACGCGACAGUCAAGUGGAGCGCUGCGUCUGUCAUCUCAGUGAGUGAGACGUAGACAGCGGUGAGGAGAGCUGUGCGAGUGCAUCACAAACACAUAAAUAUGCCUGACACCCGUAAACGAAGCAGCAUCCGGCUGCAGCUGAAAGGCUUUUUUGUCUUAGACUUGUCCUGACUUUGUCUUGGUCUUCACUCGAUCUGUCUUGGUCCUGGUCUUGAUACCCUCUAGUCUUUGGUAUUGUCUUGGUUUAGGCGGUCUUGACUACAAGUCUAGUCCCUGCUCCAAAGAGAAAUUGGACCCCUGUUGUCAAACACUAGGAACAUUUGUCCUGCCUUUUUUUUUUUUUUUUUUUUAAGGAAAAUGGCAUUGCUGGGCUGUGGGGGAUUUCAGUGCACAAAGAACAUUUCAUACAUACAUUUGUUAUUCUUCCUUUCUGGCCUGGAAAUAAACUCUUUCUAAUUAAGACUUGUAGUGUUGCAGUGCCCUGGGUUUCUGAUUUGCUUGCUCCCCACUUGUAUUUACCUCCCUAGUAUGACAUUCAGGUGCACUAGCUUUAGUGCAAUUGCACAUCACUACUGUGAACACUCUGCUCUUUUAGUUUUCAGUCCUUUAUUUAUCCAGGUAAAAUCUCAUUGAGAUUAAAAAUCUCAUUUCCAAGAGAGACCUGGUAUCAUGGCAACAAAUGUCAAAAUACACCUACUACACAAGUAUAAAAGCUCUCACUUUGGUUAUACAAGAACCCCCAGUUUUCCUACACUAACAUGCACAUGAUCCCACAGGGAAACAGGCAGCAAGUCUUUUGAAAGUCCAUGAAACUCCUGCUGACUGGAUGGUCAGACUCCUAUGACCUCUCCAAAAGUCCAGGAAGACUAAAACGCUAAUACAGAAAAUAAAACCUGCACUUUCCUAUUGACA